GGUUAAGUGACUAAGCGUACACGGUGGAUGCCUUGGCAGUCAGAGGCGAUGAAGGACGUAGUAACUUGCGAUAAGCCCAGAUUAGGUAGUAACAACCAUUUGAGUCUGGGAUUUCCGAAUGGGGAAACCCACU
This 133-nucleotide ribosomal RNA is filed under the name Vibrio parahaemolyticus. Its description in RNAcentral is "partial 23S ribosomal RNA". It matches the Rfam family "Bacterial large subunit ribosomal RNA", at positions 1 to 132 of the family's 2925-position model. The record is from RNAcentral. Lineage: Bacteria; Pseudomonadati; Pseudomonadota; Gammaproteobacteria; Vibrionales; Vibrionaceae.